GACUUCGUAGCUCAACCGGUGGAGUGUGCGUGUACAAAGCGUAGGCGGCGUCCAUGAGUGGGUUCGAAUCCCACCGAGGCUA
Molecule: transfer RNA, 82 nt
Filed under: Echinostoma caproni
Lineage: Eukaryota; Metazoa; Platyhelminthes; Trematoda; Plagiorchiida; Echinostomatidae
Rfam family: tRNA
About the family: Transfer RNA (tRNA) molecules are approximately 80 nucleotides in length.
Source: Rfam by way of RNAcentral